GAGAAGAUGGCUCAGUGGUAGAGUGCUUGCCUUGCAUGCAUGAGGCCCUCCUUUCA
Molecule: non-coding RNA, 56 nt
Organism: Dipodomys ordii (Ord's kangaroo rat)
Lineage: Eukaryota; Metazoa; Chordata; Mammalia; Rodentia; Heteromyidae
Source: Rfam